This 4409-nucleotide long non-coding RNA is filed under the name Sus scrofa (pig). RNAcentral describes it as "lncRNA (ENSSSCG00045026195.1)". The record is from RNAcentral. Lineage: Eukaryota; Metazoa; Chordata; Mammalia; Artiodactyla; Suidae.
AUGGAGCCGGGCUGGCUCCGGGCUUGGUCUUGGCUUGGAUCUUCUGGCCACACGUCUGUCCAGGUUCUAGGACCAGGCUCGGCUGCAGCACUGGCAGAUGCCUUUUUCCUCGGUUUCCACCCUUUGGUGUUCCAGAGCCUAGCAACUGCCCGGGGCUGGUGCCUAGAGGAUCACAGAUGCAGUUGCAAUGGGGUAACCAGGAACCCUGCAUGGAGGCUGAAACAACCAGAAAUGGAAGUUUUCUGCGAUGCCGUGCCACUGGUGUCCAGAAGUUUAAACCACCCCAACUCUUUUAGACUGGAGACUGCAGAGAACCCAGGAUGAAAGUCUUUCUUAUUGGGAAUCAAGAUGGAUUGCUGUCUUGAAAUUACUGGACUGAACAAUGGCUUAAGGUAUGGGUUUCAUUUUGUUCUCAUGUAACAAAGAAGUUGGGGUAGGCUAUUACUGGUGUUGGUUCAGCAGCUCAUGAUAUUUAGGGUCAAGGUGGCCCUUGAGGUUCCCAUGACUUUUCCCUUAGGUUCCUAGAUGGUUGCUGCAGUUCCCAGCAGGAAGGUGGAGGAGGCCCAAAGGGAAAACAGGGCCUGCCUGUUUGAGUUGGCUUCCUUUUAAAGAGUUUUAUUGGCAGCCCAAUAGCUUUUUCUUACAUCUCAUUGGCCAAACUGUGUCAUUGGCUCCUGCUAUCUCUAAGGUUGCCUGAGAAAUGUAGUUUUUGUAGCUGGACAUUAACUGCCUUUAAUGAAAAUCUGAGUUCUCUUGAUAAGGAUGAAGAUGAUGGUGGAUCUUGGGUGAACAAAUGAUAGUCUGUGCCCUGGAUAUAAAAUGCAAUAGUAAAGAAGCAUGAUGUUUGAAACAGAUCAGAACUGUGGCUCUGUUACCACUGGCAACACUCCAAGCAACACUGCUUUGUUCUGAGAGAGUGAAGACAUGCUAGGUCUUCCCAUGAAACACUUGCCAGCACUGACCUUCUCUCUCAACCAAUAUCCUUGACCCCAUCAGGCUUUUCUAGAGGAGGACCCUGGGAACCCACACACUUUCUUGGAGGACAUAAUCUCUUCAUGGAGGUUUGAAAUAGGAUAAGGAAUGUUCUACCUUGCUGCUUCUACAUCUGCUUCAUUUAUCUCUUCUCUAAUUUUCCUAUCAAAUUUUUAGUGGAGUCUAGUUGUGUAUUUGAUCCCCAUAAAAGGAUCAUCCCUUCCAUGCACAGGGGAGGGUAAUCUAUGAAAAGAAAGGCUACUUUUCUCCCUUCUGUGAUUCCACCACCAGUCUAGGAAUAUCCUGGGAGAAUUGCAUCUCAAAGCUUUCCAUAAGCAGCCUACAUCCUGUCUAAGCAAAGGGAGAAGAAACACUUCCCACAUCCAGGGCUGUCCAAAAGAACUUUCUGUGAUGACAGAAAUGUUCUAUAUCUGCAUUAAUAUGGUAGCCACUAGCCACGUGUGGCUAGUGAAUAUUCGAAAUAUGGCUAGUGUGAUUGAGGAAGUAAAUUCUAAUUUUAUUUAAUUUUAAAUAAUUUAAAUAUAAAUAGCCACAUGUGGCUAGUGGCUGUUGUAUUGUAGAGCAUAGUACACACCUUUCUCGUGUUUUAGAACUUGCUGGGAGAGGUUUGAACAAGUCAUAUACGUGGCGUUCCAUGGUCUUCACUGUUCCACCUUGCCAUUGAACUUGUCUCCCAGAGGAAAAAGAAAUAUGGUAUUUUGGAGCUAAAUUGAAGAUGUUAAUUGAACAUCUACACAUUGAAGUAUGUAUUCUUGUGUAAAUGGGAUGAUCUCCUGGGAAUAGGACCUGCGAUUGAUGUUAGUGAUUACUGAUGAUGGGAAACUGGUAGUGCUGGUCCAGUUAACAUCUCUAGUAUGUUCCUGGUUAGAAUGAGUCAGCAAAGAUUAUUUUAUUCUAUUGUGCGGUUCAUUCUGUGUUACUUUAUUUUUGUAUUAUUAUGACUGCUAAGUGAUUAUUCUGUGUCUGUUUUUCAAAAUGCUCUAUGGUUUAUAUUUUUUAAAAGGUUAUGAAAUAAAAAGUAAUUAUAUGUAACUCAGCUUUUUGUGUGUGAGUUAUUAUUACCCAUACUUUUCGAAGAAUUAAUUAGGAUGGGGUUAAUGGAUGGAAGAAAUUUUUGUAUCAGAUUUUCUUUACAAUGGACAUACCUAUAUGUCAAUUCAUGCCAUUUUACAAAAAUACUAAAUGUUCUUUAAUUGUACACAGAUUUGGGUAAAAUGUGAGGGUAAUGAAUGUAUUGGGUUGUAGUUCCCACUGUGGCACAAUGGAAUGGGCAGCGCCUUGGUAGUGCUGGGAUGCAGGUUUGAUCCCCGGCCCAGCACAGUGGGUUAAGGAUCCAGCAUUACCUCAGCUAUGACUUAGGUUGAAACUGCAGCUCGGAUCUGAUCCCUAGCCCAGGAACUCCAUAUGCUGUGGAAUGGCCAAAAAAGGAAGAAAACAAAAGGUAUUGGGUUAAUUCUUUUCUCAAGGGUCUGGUUGUUUUUCUACAUAAAACGUCACUUGAAUCUUGUUUCAGUGGCCUGUUUUGGAUUGUCUGUCUUUUUUAUUAUUGAGUCGUAGGUAUUCUUGAAAAUAUCAGAGAUACUGUUCCUUUAUAAGAUACAUGCUUUGCAAUAAUUUUCUUCUAGUUUGUGGAUAACCUAUUCAUUUUCUUAAUAAUGUCUUUAAGAGAGGGACUUGUACUUUUGAAAAUAAAUUUAUCCAUUUUUUCUUUUCUUGCUUUCUGUGUCCUCUUUAAGAGACUUCUUCCUAUCUCUUAGGUCACAAAAAAUACUCCUGUGCUUUCUUAUAGACUAGAAACUUUAUAGUUUUAACUUUUAUGAUGUCUGUUAUCCAUCUGAAAUGAUUUUUUGUCUAUAAGUUAAGGAUUGCGUUCCUUCCCCUACUCAUAUAUAUGAAGAGUUUUCUCCUCAUUCAUUGAAAAACCCUUCCUUUCCCCACUGGAUUGCUCUGGCAUCCCUGCCAAAAAUCAAAUGAUCAUAUAAGUGGGACUAUUUUUAGGCUCUCUAUUCCUUUCCAUUGGGUCAUCCUUAUGCUGUUACCUCAUUGUAUUGAUUACUGUAUUUUCACAACGUCUUGGUAUUUACCACAAAAUAUUAUAAAUCUGAACUUUUAGAAUAAACUUCUACUGAAGACUUAGUUUACAACAAAAGACACUUGAAUAAUUUUGGUUGAAAAUGGUUAAAUUCGAUGAAAAAAAAACCACACCCUUUUACCAUGCUUCCUUUAUUCUUGCAUGUAGCUCCACCCAUAAUCUGAAUCUAGAGCUGGAGUAGAACUUGGUCAAAAGGAUCCUCAUAAGUAGAAAAUAUCCUUUUUCUGUUACUACAGUUGAGAGAAAACUGGGCUUUUUAAAGAGACUUUUUACUAGAAAUCUCAAGUGAUACAAAACAAAAAGCAGAAGGUUCAUGCAUUGUUAGGGUCUCAGCUUCUUUGCUGGCAUCAGUCUAGCCACAGCCUGGACUGCCUGGCUCAAGUAUCAGGACAUCCAUUUUGAUGUUUUUCACUUAUCUCAAUGGUGUCUGACCCUUGAGUGAUUGGGUACCUGAUCAUACUUUUUAGAAAUUUGGUCAAGAUGGUUUUAUUGGCACCAAAUCAUAUCUCACAUCCAUUUUAUUUGUAUGCAGUUUUCCAGACACACUCCUUCUUGUCCUUUACACAGCUUUUGUUUGUUGGCUUGCUUUUCAAUUUUACUGGAAUAUAAUUGGAUUACAAGGCUCUGUUAAUUUGAGGCAUACAGCAAAGUAAAUCAGUUAUACAUAUACGUAGAUCCAUUCCUUUUUAGAUUCUUUUGCCUUGUAGGUUAUUACGCAGUAUUGAAUAUAUUUUCCUGUGCUACAUAGUAGGCCCUUGUUCCCCAUCUAUUUUAUGUAUAGUAGUUUGUUUAUGUCCAUCCCAACCCCCUAAUUUAUCCCUCCUCUGAACAUUUCCCCUUUGGUAAAUAGAAGUUUGUUUUCAAAAUGUUUUUUUUAUUUUUAUCUUUAUUUUUUAAUUAAAAAUUUUUUAUUAUAGUUUAUUUGCAAUGUUCUGUCAAUUUCUGCUGUAGAGCAAAGUGACCCAUUCAUUCAUCCAUGUAUAUAUGGAUAUGUGUGUGUAUGUAUAUAUGUAUAUGUAUAUACACAUACACACACACUGGAUAAUAGUUACCUGUGCUACACAGCAGGAUCCCAUUGCCUAUCCACUCCAAAUGUGAUAUUUUUCAUCUAUUAACCCAAACUCCCAGUCCAUCCCAAUCCCUCCCCUUCCCCCUUGGCAACCACCAGUCUAUUGUCCAUGUCCAUGAGUUUGGCUUUUUUCCUGUGGUUAAGUUCAUUUGUGGCAUAGAGUCCAGAUAUGUGUGAUAUCUUUGGUAUUUGUCUUUCUCUUUCUGACUUAACAUCACUUAGUAUGAGAGUCUCUAGUUCCAUCCAUGUUGCUGC